Molecule: ribosomal RNA, 608 nt
Filed under: Cantharidae sp. FC_191
Lineage: Eukaryota; Metazoa; Arthropoda; Insecta; Coleoptera; Cantharidae
Description: SSU rRNA
Rfam family: Eukaryotic small subunit ribosomal RNA
Source: RNAcentral
AGUCAUAUGCUUGUCUCAAAGAUUAAGCCAUGCAUGUCUCCGUACAAGCUUAAUUAAAGUGAAACCGCGAAAGGCUCAUUAAAUCAGUUAUGGUUCAUUAGAUUGUACCAAGUUACUCGGAUAACUGUGGUAAUUCUAGAGCUAAUACGUGCAAAUAGAAUCCCGACCGGAAACGGAAAGGAUGCUUUUAUUAGCCUAAAACCAAUCGGCGGCGGGCGUCUUCGGGCGCUCGUUCGUCGUUUAGUAUGACGAAUCUAAAUAACUCUAUGCUGAUCGCACGGUUUAAUACCGGCGACGCAUCUUUCAAAUGUCUGACUCAUCAACUGUCGAUGGUAGGUUAUGUGCCUACCAUGGUUGUGACGGGUAACGGGGAAUCAGGGUUCGAUUCCGGAGAGGGAGCCUGAGAAACGGCUACCACAUCCAAGGAAGGCAGCAGGCGCGCAAAUUACCCACUCCCGGCACGGGGAGGUAGUGACGAAAAAUAACGAUACGGGACUCAUCCGAGGCCCCGUAAUCGGAAUGAGUACACUUUAAAUCCUUUAACGAGGAUCAAUUGGAGGGCAAGUCUGGUGCCAGCAGCCGCGGUAAUUCCAGCUCCAAUAGCGUAU